AUACGGAGGAUCCGAGCGUUAUCCGGAUUUAUUGGGUUUAAAGGGUGCGCAGGCGGCCAUUUAAGUCAGCGGUUAAAUCGUGGGGCUCAACCCCAUUCUGCCGUUGAUACUGGGUGGCUUGAUUGCGGUCGAGGUUGGCGGAAUUCGUUGUGUAGCGGUGAAAUGCAUAGAUAUGACGAAGAACACCGAUUGCGUAGGCAGCUGACCAGACCGCAAAUGACGCUCAUGCACGAAAGUGCGGGGAUCGAACAGGAUUAGAUGCACUGGUAGGCCGCAGAGUAAACGAUUAAUACUUGUUUUCGGCGAUAUAAUGUCGGAGGCAAAGCGAAAGCGAUAAGUAUUCCACCUGGGGAGUACGCCGGCAACGGUGAAACUCAAAUGAAUUGACGGGG
RNAcentral lists this ribosomal RNA (392 nucleotides) under uncultured bacterium. RNAcentral's name for it is "partial 16S ribosomal RNA". It matches the Rfam family "Bacterial small subunit ribosomal RNA", at positions 523 to 918 of the family's 1533-position model. The record is from RNAcentral.